GUACGACCCGUAAUACCGUCAGUCCCCGGAACUAACGUUAACUGUUUGUGUGUCACAUCGUGAUGAGGACGGCGGAGUAAAAAAGAAAGAAAGGUCGGGGAGAAGAGGAGCAGAGCCGCGAGGAACUUUAACAUGAAGUCUGAGAGGAAGCUGUCAGCGGACCAGGGGACAGAUGUUCUGGAAGUGAUUGUUGGUGAAGUGGAGCAGCAGGAGUGUAGCUCCAGUGUGGACCAGCAGGAGGCAGAGCCCCCCCCAUACAUUAAAGAGGAACAGGAGGAACUGUGGAGCAGUCAGGAGGGAGAGCAGCUUC
Molecule: long non-coding RNA, 310 nt
Organism: Perca fluviatilis (European perch)
Lineage: Eukaryota; Metazoa; Chordata; Actinopteri; Perciformes; Percidae
Exons: 3
Source: RefSeq, a predicted model, not a curated record